RNAcentral lists this ribosomal RNA (72 nucleotides) under Candidatus Bathycorpusculum terrae. Lineage: Archaea; Thermoproteati; Candidatus Bathyarchaeota; Bathyarchaeia (SeqCode); Bathyarchaeales (SeqCode); Candidatus Bathycorpusculaceae. The record is from RNAcentral.
GAUGCCGGCCAGAGGGCGCGGGUUCCACCUGAUCCCAUUCCGAACUCAGAAGUUAAACCGUGUUCCGUUCCC